GUCCUAUAGCGGGGAGUAGCCUCUGGAAACGGGGGGUAAUACCGCAUAAGCUGCAAGGAGCGCAUGCACCAUGCAGGAAAGGUAUCUGCAAAGAUAUCACUAAAGGAGGGCUUUGCGGCCUAUCAGGUAGUUGGUGGGGUAAAGGCCUACCAAGCCAAAGACGGGUAGCUGGUCUGAGAGGAUGGUCAGCCACACUGGGACUGAGAUACGGCCCAG
RNAcentral lists this ribosomal RNA (216 nucleotides) under uncultured bacterium. RNAcentral's name for it is "partial 16S ribosomal RNA". It matches the Rfam family "Bacterial small subunit ribosomal RNA", at positions 128 to 334 of the family's 1533-position model. The record is from RNAcentral.